Molecule: ribosomal RNA, 253 nt
Filed under: uncultured bacterium
Lineage: Bacteria
Description: partial 16S ribosomal RNA
Rfam family: Bacterial small subunit ribosomal RNA
Source: RNAcentral
GACAGAGGCCCCAAGCGUUAGGCGGAAUCACUGGGCUUAAAGCGUGUGUAGGCGGACGCCUAAGUGUCUUGUGAAAUCCCACGGCUCACCCGUGGAACUGCUGGGCAUACUGGGCGUCUUGGGCCAACUAGGGGCAGCCGGAACAAGCGGUGGAGCGGUGAAAUGCGUAGAUAUCGGGAAGAAUACCGGUGGCGAAGGCGUUCUGCUGGGCCGUUGCUGACGCUGAGGCGCGACAGCGUGGGGAGCAAACAGG